GAUGAUUCUUUAUCCCACAUGUCCUUGGUAUUCAGUGGGUAGGUCAUUAGGCCCAUGGAGAAAUAAGUGGGAAAAUGUCCAAGGGAUGAAAAACGUCUAUAUAGCAUGGGGAGAAGUGGAUAGUUUUACCAGGUACUGAAUUUCAGCUUUAAGAGGUGCAGGUUCUGAUCCCAGCCAGAACACUUGAGAGGACUAACUUCUGGGAAGGAAGCAGAAUAACAACGUGAGCCUGUGAACGUUCCAACGAGAUCCUGCGUUAGCCGUUUCUUCUUGCAGGUGAGACACAGAAUCCCAAAAGUUUUGCCCUAGAGAAAGGCACACUUGAAGAUCUUUCUUCCAUUUUCCGCACGAGAGAGAGAAUGCAAGUGGGGGAGAGAAGCAGAAGGAGAGAGAGAGAGAGAGAGUGCACGAGAUGGAGAGACGGGGAGAGGGAAGGAGAGAGAAUCAUAUGCAGGCUCCAUGCUCAUCAAGGAGCUGGACGUGGGGCUUGAUCCCCCGACGCUGGGACCACGACCUGAGCUGAAAUCAAGAGUAGGAAACACCACCAACUGAGCCACCCAGGCGCGCCUGUGGUUCAAGAGUUCUACACCUGUUUUCUCAUUUGCUCCCCAUCUUCUCGUUCAGCCCUGUGAAGUGGGCAGCACUGAUUUCUUCUCCAGGGUUGGCAGCCUCCUCUUAAGAAGGAUCAGAAAAACUCAAGACGAUAGGAAAGUAAGCCGGCAUGGAAACUAUUGCCCAGCUGACCGCUUUAUCCCGAGCUUCCUGGGCUUCAAAGAAGCGGCUCAACAAGUUUGAGAAGAAAUAUAAUGGUAACGGCAGCGGCUGCGGGAGCCUAACAGACGGAGGUAAGGCAUCCGAAAUACUGAACAAGCCUCUUGGGGCAGACUCCCACCCGGAGCUGUGUAAAGUCUGCUUAAUUAAAUGUGCCUUCUAUUAUGGUCUUUGCUGAUUCACUGAGGAGGAAGAAGAGGCAGUGACCUUGUAUCGAAUCACGGCAAAGGCAAAGACUGCAUGUCAAUUCUCGUGUUGGUAGGAAGGUGUUAAUAACGUCUCCAAGCUGGACGGCUCCUGCCGGAGGACUGACUUCUCUAGGCCUUAAAAACAGCGCCCGGCGCCCCGGCUUUAGCUGUUGGGUGCUGACUAAGCACUUUUCGAGCUGCCUUCAGUUGAAAGACAGAGGAGGCGGAGGAAAUCCUCACUCGGCCAAAUCUAUCCCAUAUGAGAGGGCAGGCUUAAUGAGAAUCGGCCCUGAGCCCUGGCUCGGCAGUGCUUCUGGAAUGCACGUGAUUUACAGCCAGCAGGGGCUGCAGAGUUUUCUGCCUUAGUCUCUCUUUCUCAUGUUUGAAAAACUUUCACGGCCAAAAUUUUAAUUUCAGCUAAUGAAGGCAAAGAGGAAAAAAAAAGAACACGGUAGCUUUACAGCACGCACACAAGGCCUGGAGGAGAUAGGAAGACGAACGCACGUUAGAGCUAACGACUGCGGGGAGCUUCCAGAAUAAGUGGACACGUAUACAAACAGGGCAACAUAGCUGACAAACAGAAGCGUGAGCCAGGUUCUGUGGAAGCCUAAAUAUCAUGCGUUUUCCAUUUUCCUUCGGGAGCCUUUCUUCAUCGUGACGGAAUGGUCUUAUGUUACGAAACCAUCUUUGACAUGGUACGUGACUUCCAACCAACAGGACUGAGUUGUAACGAUUUACUUUCUACAGGUGAGGCUCCUUGGUGGGCAUGGUGUUUUCCCCAAACCCAAAGGUAAUAUAUUAAUAAGGUCUUGAAAAAUGCAACCAGUAUAAACAGGGCUGAAGUCGUACUUGACUCCUUUUUUUUUGUCCACCUCAUCAUCUCUCAAUUUGAAUCCCUGGAAGGUAGUAAUCACCAUUUCGGUUUGGUGAACAUACUUCCAGAUCUUUUUUGCUUGCAUUUAUACACAUAGACACAUAAACACGCGUGCACACAAACCUUCAGAGAUACAAACACACACACACAUGCACACAUUGAGAGAAAACUAUGAAGUUUAAAAAAUGAAUGUGACAAUUCUAUAUACAGAAUUCACUUUCAACUUGCUUUCUAACUUGGGAUAUGUCAGCACAUAGGGACAUCAUUUUUAACGGCUUCGUACUGUUCCACAAUGUUGAUGUGCCUUAAUCAAUAACUCCCUAUGAGUUUAUAAUUUUGUUACCCACAGAUGAUCCCCCCCCCUUUUUUUUUACCAUCUCCAGUAUCACAAAGGAUGUCAUUUUACCUGUCCCUAGUAUUACAAAAGCAAGUAUAUAUCUAGGGUAGAGGUGGACACAUAGAUUAGCUAAAUUAAAAAGUCUGAGAUUUAAAAAUUUUUAAAUAGAGGAACAUGGCCAAAAAACUAUUCUACCAGCAACAUUUUGGCCCAUAUUUGUCCCAAUAUGACAUUGUUAAUCUUUUCAACCCUUUGAUAAUCUGACGGAUUAAAAGCAAAUAGAAUUUCAUUGUUUCAUUUUGCAUUUUCCUGGUGGAGGAAAUAAGCACUUAAAAUAGUUUUCAAUUUCUUGGGGUGCCUGGGUGGCUCAGUUGGCUAAGCAUCCAACUCCUGAUUUCGGCUCAGGUCAUAAUCUCAUGGUUCCUGAGAUGGAGUCCUGCAUUGGGCCCCGUGCUGUCUUUUCUCUCUCUCUGCCCUUCCCCCACUCAUUCUCUCUCUCUCUCUCUCUCUCUCUCUCUCUCUCUCUCUCAAAAUAACUAAAUAAAGUUAAAGCAAUAGUUUUCAAUUUCUCUUUUUCUUUUCUAAGUAAGCCCAGAGUUAAUAGUAGGGUGUUUAUGGACUCUACAUGAAAGGAUUGGCCAGAGAUGGAAAUUGGCUCUCAUAUUAUUGUUAGUUUCUAAUUUUACCAAAUUGUAAUCAGCUCGUGUGGCCUGUGUGAUUUUUGCUUUUUGGAAUUUGAUGAGAUAUGCUUCAUGAUCUAAUUCUUGGUCAGUUUAUGUUCUGUGUAUGCUUAAAAUAACGUGUAUUCUUUGUUUAUUAGUUACAAAUCUCUACAUAAAUCAUAUUUGGUUAAUUGUUUUAUUAAAUAUCUAUCCUUACAUAUUUUUAGUCUUCUUGAAAUGGUAAUUUCUAGAUGUAUGGUAAAAAUUUCUUUCUAUGACAUGAAUUCAUGAAUUUUUCUUUGCAUUAGUGGUUGUUUUAAAGACCUCCAUGUUAUGUUGUUAAGUGCCAAAAGGUUUGUGAAUGUUUUAUGUUCUUUUUUUAUUUAAAAAAAUUUUUUUUAACGUUUAUUUAUUUUUGAGACAGAGAGAGACAGAGCAUGAACAGGGGAGAAGCAGAGAGGGAGGGAGACACAGAAUCCGAAACAGGCUCCAGGCUCUGAGCUGUCAGCACAGAGCCCAACGAGGGGCUCGAACUCACGGACCAUGAGAUCAUGACCUGAGCCGAAGUUGGAUGCUUAACCGACCAAGCCACCCAGGCGCCCCUAUGUUCUUUUUUUAAAUGUUUAUUUAUUUGUGUGAGAGAGAGAGAGAGAGAGAGAGAGAGCAAGUGGGGGAGGGGCAGAGAGAGAGAGGGAGACAGAGGAUCUACAGCAGGCUCCAAGCUAUCAUUGCAGAGCCCGAUGUAGGGCUCAGACCCACGAACUGUGAGAUCCUGACCUGAGCUGAAGUUGGACGCUCAACCAACUGAGCCACCCAGGUGCCCCAUGAGUGUUUUAUCUUCUUGACAGAUUUCUUUCAUCAAUGUGAAAUAUUCCUCUGGCUUUUUUUUGAAAAAUUUUGCCCUUGAUUGUAUUUUGUCUGAAAUUUAUAUUGCUAACACUGUAUUCCUUUUAUUAGGCUUUGCCUGGCACAUCUUUAUUUUCCAAUUUACUGGGUCCUUUUGAAUACCUACGUUUGCAGUGUUCCCUUCUGUUGCAGUGGUUCUUUGAUGUGAUCCUUUUGGACUGUGUUUUCCUCAUGGACAUCAUAAUCCUACCUGCCUUCUGUUUUUCAGAGAUUCUUCCCUUGUUUUCAUGACUAUAAAUGAAAAUGCAUGUGUGUGCGUGUGUGCAUGUGCAUAUGUCCAUAUGUAUGUGUGUGUGUGCAUGUGUGUGUGUGUGCAUGUGUACGUGCGUGUGUGUGUGUGUGUGCAUAUGUCCAUAUGUACGCGUGUGUGUGCGUGUGUGUGUGUGUGUGCAUGUUUUCCUGUCAUUUAAGGCAGGCAGGAAGGAGGACAUCAUGUGCUCGGGCUGCCAUCUUGAUCCAAUCCCAUGCUUUCCUUAAUUCCAGAUUUCCUGCCCUCUUCCUACCCUAAAACAGUGCUCACCUUUCCUUCCAGCUCAGUGGGUCUGGAUGUUGAAGGUGCUGUGACAGAAACGGCACAGAAUAAAGUCUGUGAAUACGUUUGGUCGGCAUGCACCCGUUGAAAAACUACUUUGGUUUCCAUUUCUUUAUGGCCCCAAAGUUGGUUUCAGCCUGAAAUGCUACAACUUAAGUUUCACUAGCAUGCAUUAUUCAGUAACAGCUUACAUAGCUCAGUGUUAUCAUCUUCCCAUCUCAUUUCCAGAAAGGUCUGUUUAAUUUGUAAACAGUCCAUUAUAGACAACACUAAGUAACAUCACAAUAUGGCUCUUCUUCUGGGUGAUAUAUUGGCAAUAUGUAUAUCCUCGUUUCUUCCAUGGAAGAAGUAUGUCUAAAGGCUGCUAACUGGACCAUUGGCAAGGCCUGGCACGAACUAACUGCAAUGUAACUCUUACCAAGUUUUGGCCAUUAAAGGUCGCAUGUAGAAUGUACUAUUUUUAAAGUCAGCGGGAAGAGAAAGCUCACAUUAUUUAUAAAGGACUGGUACUCUAUUCAUUCUCUUAUUUUAUUUAAAACAUUCUCACCUCAUUUUCUAUGUUUUAUGUUUUCCUUUUAGGUACAGAGUUUAUUUUCAUUUACAGGGCAUCAAACCCCCAACCGUAGGAUUUCAGACUAAAAAGAGCUUAAUGAGGUUAGGCUCAUCCUAUGUUUGAGAGUUUUUGUGACUGGCUCAAGUUCAUAUAUUGACUUUGUGGCAGAGCCGGCAUCAGAAUGUGGGUUGCCUGAGCCCAGCACACUGUUUAUAUGUAAAUUUACAUUUACGAAAGAUUUUUAAAGAUUCCAUCUCAUCCUCAAAUUACUAAAAAAAAUUCCAGGAAAGACCAGAUGGCAAGCAUGAAUAAUCUCAAUUUUCAUAGGAGGGGAUACUGAAAAGGAAGGAUGAAUUAAUGACUUGCUUAAAAUUAUCCACAUUAGGAGUUGUCAGAAAAACAAUGUGGAGUCUUUACUACCAGGCCUGUGCAUCUAAGAGCCUCUCCAUCUUCUUAUCCCACAAGGCCACUUCCUAAAAGGACCGAGGUGCCUCCUCAAGGAACUGUCUCAUGGUUUAAUCCCUAUAGGAACCCAAAAUACAGAUUUGCUGUUAAAUUGUUAACAUAUUAAGUGUCUUCUUGAUUUGUGGUGACCUUAGAAAAAACUCAGCAAAGUCAGAGCCAGGUUGUCCUUUGUAAACUGGAGAAUGAUUCACCUAUUAUUCCAGAUAAAGUAAAAGGAUGAAUCACAGUGUGGCUUUAAAUUCCUUCCAGCUCUUUGUUUAUUGUUUCCUCUUAUAUGGAAUUCUAUUUAUUCAUUAAUCUAGCCCCAGCUCCUAACAAAUGGGGCAUCUACCAGGCCCUCGAGUAAACAUUUAGUACUAGGCCUUUGUGCUCUGUGUAGGAUUUCUGGAGCCCUCUUUCUACCUCUAAGUUAUGAAUAGGUCUUUAGACUCCAAGGAGUUGGCAAAUUCUUUUAGACUCUAAGAGCCUAAGAGUCUGCAAACUAUGGCUGGUGGACCAGCCACAUGUUUUUGUAAAUAAAAACUUUUAUUUGAACACAGUCAGGCCCAUUCAUUUGUAUAUUAUCUAUGGCUGCUUUCCCUACAGGGCAGAGCUGAACAGAAAUGACAGCUACUGAAAGGUCUUAAAAGCCUAAGACUUUUACUAUCUGGCUCUUUGCAGAAAAAAAAAAAAUUGCCAAUACUUGUGUUUAGAAUCUAUUUGCUACCUUUUAUGGUCAACCUGGAGUUGAACCAGUGUCUAGCAAAACAACAAAUGCACCAUGACAAAUGUUCAUAGAUCAGCAAAGCACUAACCUAGUCACGGAAGUCUAAUUUAGUGUUAUAGAUUCACAGGCUUAGCUAAUAUGUAAAUCAGCAAGCAUAAGUAAUGAUGAUUUCUGCUUGCAUGGCACUUUCCAGACUAGGAAAUAUUUUAUAUGUGUUAUCUCAUUUGAUCCGUCCAGUAACCUUAGAAAGUGGGCAAGAGACAGAUUCUGAGACAUUGUGUAUCCUAGAGUUGAACUUGGAAUCAAGCGUUUUAUUUUAGCAGCUAAAAUGAUUCCUUUAUCUUUGGAAAACUUUUCCUCCAGAGAAAUAAAAAAAGAAGGGAGGAAUUAUUAACAUUUAUCAUCUUAUAAUGCACUGUUCUGAAGUAAUGUAUUGGUAGAUCAUUUGCAACGAAUUGUAUUUUGUCACAACACGUUCUGUCUUCCUAAUUUGUGCAUUUAUGUCAAUAAGAUGAUAAUAAAAAUGACAUAAGCAUUUGA
Long non-coding RNA from Neofelis nebulosa (Clouded leopard), 6534 nucleotides. RefSeq lists it as uncharacterized. The transcript has 4 exons. Lineage: Eukaryota; Metazoa; Chordata; Mammalia; Carnivora; Felidae. The record is from RefSeq and is a predicted model, not a curated record.